UUGACCUCGGAUCAGGUAGGAAUACCCGCUGAACUUAAGCAUAUCAAUAAGCGGAGGAAAAGAAACCAACAGGGAUUGCCUCAGUAACGGCGAGUGAAGCGGCAACAGCUCAAAUUUGAAAUCUGGCCCCAGGCCCGAGUUGUAAUUUGCAGAGGAUGCUUCGGGCGCGGCGCCUCCCAAGUCCCCUGGAACGGGGCGCCUGAGAGGGUGAGAGCCCCGUACGGUUGGAUGCCUAGCCCUUGUGAAGCUCCUUCGACGAGUCGAGUAGUUUGGGAAUGCUGCUCAAAACGGGAGGUAGACCCCUUCUAAAGCUAAAUACCG
Molecule: ribosomal RNA, 321 nt
Filed under: Zanclospora lateriphiala
Lineage: Eukaryota; Fungi; Ascomycota; Sordariomycetes; Chaetosphaeriales; Chaetosphaeriaceae
Description: partial large subunit ribosomal RNA
Rfam family: Eukaryotic large subunit ribosomal RNA
Source: RNAcentral